This 73-nucleotide transfer RNA is filed under the name Vicugna pacos (alpaca). RNAcentral describes it as "tRNA-Ala (AGC) (tRNA-Ala-AGC-427-1)". It matches the Rfam family "tRNA". From Rfam's summary of the family: Transfer RNA (tRNA) molecules are approximately 80 nucleotides in length. Their secondary structure includes four short double-helical elements and three loops (D, anti-codon, and T loops). The record is from RNAcentral. Lineage: Eukaryota; Metazoa; Chordata; Mammalia; Artiodactyla; Camelidae.
GGAGGGUAUAGCUUAGUGGUAGAGCGCAUGCUUAGCAUGCAUGAGGUCCUGGGUUCAAUCCCCAGUACUUCCA